Molecule: long non-coding RNA, 313 nt
Organism: Gallus gallus (chicken)
Lineage: Eukaryota; Metazoa; Chordata; Aves; Galliformes; Phasianidae
Exons: 2
Source: RefSeq, a predicted model, not a curated record
GGGCAGCGCGCAUGCGCGAAGGGGAGUGCGCGUCCAUCCCUCGUACACCUUUACCACAGAGCGCGAGGCGGGGGCCGGGGGGAACGCGCCUCUCGCCGGUCUCUAUGGCUCAGCCUGGCAUCUGGAGUCACACCGGGUUCCUUCCAGCUUUCCCAGCAGAAAUCCAAAUCCUGCAAGCAGUAAAGCAGCUGUGCUGCUGCUGUCCUGGUACAGACCCUGCCCACCCCCCCGGUGCUGCUGCCUUCUGCAGGGAGUGCCCGACAACAGCACCGUGACAGAGGUGACUGCACUUCCCUGCCCAUUUUAAAGAGAC